Non-coding RNA from Salvia hispanica, 342 nucleotides. Lineage: Eukaryota; Viridiplantae; Streptophyta; Magnoliopsida; Lamiales; Lamiaceae. The record is from RefSeq and is a predicted model, not a curated record.
UAUUAAACGAGUCCGAAUUCGGAGCUCAUUGGUUCGUUUACAGUAAUUUAUCUCUCUUCUCUCUCUCCUCACUUCCAGAAACAGAGGACCACGAAAUUCCCGGUUCUCUUUGAUUCAAUGACUUCUGAUUAUGCGGUUAAACUUGCAGCGGAGCUUGAAUCAGCUUCGCGUUUGAGAGCUGCUCAAUUCCUGGUGACGCAAAGGCCGUGGCUUGAUCUUUAUGGGGUUAAUGUCAGACCUGUUACUCCUUUCCGUAGCUUGAGCAAACCGUUUGUUGAUACAUCACUUCUACACCGCAGCUUACCGGAUGAGUUGCUUUUUGAGGUAUAACUCUGCUGUGAA